GGUCCGUUCCGGCACCAUCUUCUGAGGUGCCCGAGCCGGAUCUAGUGAGGUACAGGAGUUACGGGCACAGGUGUCGGCAUUGACCGGUAUUGUACAACGCCAGGAGAGUCGAUUUGAGCAGCUCCAAGGGCUUAUGGAGCUGCAUUUUGCGGCGGCAACUGCAGCUGCGACUGAGGGCCGUGAUCCGCCCCCGCCUCCAGCUCGUGCGCCUACAGCGGCUGAGGGCGAGGGCAUUGCGGCAGUUCCGGUGGCGGCACGUCCUCCGCCGGCAAGCUUUCCUCCGGCGGCGUCGGGUUCCACGACACCCGAUGCGACGGCAUUAGAGGCGGAGAGGGAGCGCGCACUUGCGGCUCUCGAGAAGUUCCGAAGGUUUAAUCCACCGACCUUCGAGGGAGAGAAGGUCGAGCCGUGGAUGGUUGAGUCGUGGGUGGACUCAAUGGAGACCUUGUUUGAGGAUCUCUACACGUUGGAGAGGGACAAGGUCUACCUCGCCACUCAUUGUUUGGAGCGGACGGCGAAGGUUUGGUGGAAGCGAAUCAAGAGGAACCGAGCUUUCGACCUUCCGCCGUUGACAUGGGAGGAGUUCCGGGGGUUGUUCUAUGUCAAUUACUUCCCCGAUAGCAAGAAGAAAAAGCUCCAAGAGCAAUUUCGAAAAUUGAAGCAAGGUGGUCGCACGGUAGCGGAGUAUGAGCGGGAGUUCUCUCACAUCAUCGACUGCGUCCCCGACGUAGUGCGGGGUGACAGGGAUCGAGCCGAUUGGUUCGAGCCAGGGCUCCGGGCGGAUAUCUACCGGGCGGUGCACAUUUUGAAGCUCACUACCUUCGCGGAGGUGCUCGAUCGAGCGUUGUGGGCGGAGCAAGGAAACACUCACAUCCGGGAGGAGCGAGAAGCGUCCGAGAAGGACGGUGGUAAGAAGCGGGCUCAGAGUAGCUCGGGAGCUCAAACUAAGUCAAAGAGGCCCCCGAAGUACCCCCGAACGCAAUCCAAGGGCCGCGGACCGCAGCGAUCCACAAUCUGUGGUGGAAACCACGAGCCUAGGACGUGUGAUCAAUGGGAAGGGAAGUGCUUCACGUGUGGACAGGCGGGCCAUAUCAGCCGCCAUUGUCCAGUAAGGGCUUUGCCUGCCUCUUCGGUCGCGUCGGCUCCGGCGACUCCGGCACAUUAUGGAGGAGUUCCAUUUGCUGCGUAAUCGGCUUGACGUGCGAUGGUACCAGGCCAAUCUAAGGCGACGAGAUCGGCUCCGAGCGGGCGGGUGUUCGCCGCUCCAGGGCCAUGUUUGAUACAGGUGCUACGCAUUCAUUCAUUAGUAGGUCAUUUGCACGCAUGCAUGACAUAGAACUACAAGAGAGUAAAAGCACUUGGAGGGUAUCGGGCCCCGGACGUGAUUUUCUAGUCCGGAUGGAGUGUUCGUCUUGUCCAGUGCGAUUGGGUGAUUGGGUAAUGCCCAUCCGUAUGUUGGUGUUUAAGAAGUUGAAAGACUUCGACGUCAUUCUAGGAAUGGAUUGGCUCUCGAAAUACUAUGCAACUAUUCACUGCAGAAGUAAAGUAAUAACGUUUCGAGAGCCGGGCCAAAAGGAAUUCAUCUACCGAGCCUGUAGAAGCUCGCGCUUCGCUGCAAUGGUGUCGGUGACGAGGGCGAGGAAGUUGAUUAACAGCGGUUGUACGGCCUAUUUGGCGACCGUUGUAGAGGUCGAGAGGACGACUCCGGCACUCGAGGAACUAUCCGUGGUCCGAGAGUUUUCGGAUGUGUUUCCCGCGGAAUUACCGGGAAUGCCGCCAGACCGGAAGAUCGAGUUCGUGACAGAAUUGGUUUCGGGAACCGCGCCUAUCUCGAAGGCUCCGUAUCGGAUGGCGCCGGCGGAAUUGAAAAAAUUGCGGGCUCAAUUAUUGGAUCUCCUUGAUAAAGGGUUUAUACGGCCAAGUGUAUUGCCGUGGGGAGCCCCGGUCCUAUUCGUGCGAAAGAAGGAUGGAUCGUUUCGGCUCUGCGUAGAUUAUCGCGAGUUGAACAAGGUCACGAUCAAGAAUAAGUACCCGUUGCCGAGGAUUGACGAUCUGUUUGAUCAGUUGCAAGGGUCUCGGGUUUAUUCAAAGAUUGACCUGCAGUCCGGUUAUCACCAACUUAAGAUCAAGCAGGAAGAUGUGCAAAAUACCGCGUUUCGCACGCGGUAUGGACACUAUGAAUUCACGGUCAUGCCGUUUGGGCUUACUAACGCCCCGGCAGCGUUCAUGGAUUUGAUGAACCGUGUCUUCAAGGAGUACUUGGACCGAUUUGCCGUGGUCUUCAUAGACGACAUCUUGGUCUACUCGCGUAGCGACGAGGAACAUGCCGAACAUUUGAGAAUAGUGCUUCAAGUCCUUCGGGAGGAGAAGCUAUAUGCUAAGUUUAAGAAAUGCAACUUUUGGCUCCGAGAGGUUGCAUUUCUUGGGCAUGUUAUUUCCGAAGGUGAAGUAUCUGUUGACCCGAGGAAAGUGGAGGCGAUCAAGGAUUGGCCUCGCCCGACUAACGUCACGGAAGUUCGAAGCUUCGUGGGUUUAGCGGGUUAUUAUAGACGGUUCGUGGAGGGAUUCUCGAAGAUCGUGGGUCCACUUACCCGUCUGACUCGGAAAGGCGCCAAGUUCAUUUGGAACGACGAGUGCGACCGGAGUUUUCAAGAGUUGAAGAAUAGAUUAACUUCGACUCCGGUGCUCGCCUUAUCGGUGCAAGAUGAAGACUUUGUGGUGUAUAGCGACGCGUCACAUUCGGGCUUAGGGUGUGUUCUGAUGCAGGGCGAGAAGGUGAUCGCUUAUGCGUCCUGUCAGCUGAAAAGCUAUGAGAAGAACUACCCUGUUCACGACUUAGAGUUGGCCGUAGUAGUGUUAGCUCUCAAGUUAUGGAGGCACUACUUGUAUGGCGCGCGUUGCGAGAUAUACACGGACCACAAAAGUUUGAAAUACCUUUUCACACAGAAGGAGCUCAACAUGCGGCAGCGGCGGUGGUUAGAAUUGCUGAAGGAUUUCGAUAUCACAAUCCUAUACCACCCCGGAAAAGCAAACGUGGUGGUCGACGUGCUUAGCAGGAAGUCAGUGGAAAAUCUUGCUAUGUUGGUCACACGCCAGGAGCCACUGUGGAGAGAGAUGGAACGAUUGGAUCUCGAGGUGGUAGCUCCGAAAAUCCCGUCUAUGCUUAUGGCUCUUGUUGUCCAACCGACCUUGUUGGAGCAAAUUAAGAGUUUGCAAUCUGCAGACCCCAAUCUCCAAAAGGUGCGGCGAGACAUCGAGAGUGGACACGACGGUGAUUUCAGUGUAGACGCCGAGGGUGCGCUUCGGUUUCGAAAUCGAUGGUGCAUACCGAAAAUCGAGGAGGUCCGGAAGUUGAUCUUACAAGAAGCACAUCGGACUCCUUAUAGCAUUCACCCGGGCGGCACCAAGAUGUACCGUGACCUGAAGAUGCAGUACUGGUGGCCGGGCAUGAAAACUGAUAUUGGGCGCUAUGUAGCGCAAUGCUUAGUAUGCCAGCAAGUGAAGGUCGAGCGCCGAUUUUCAGCGGGAAAGCUCCAAAGUCUACCUAUCCCCGUUUCGAAAUGGGAGAAUAUUGCUAUAGACUUCGUGGUCGGAUUGCCCCGUUCGACGGGUGGCCACGACGCGAUCUGGGUGAUUGUGGAUCGUAUGACCAAGUCGGCACACUUUCUACCGAUUCACACCACCUGGUCGGGCGACAAGUUGGCGCAGGUAUACUUGGAUGAAGUUGUGAGGUUGCACGGGGUUCCGAAGUCGAUCGUGUUAGAUCGAGACCCUCAUUUUACUUCGCACUUUUGGAAGAGUCUGCAAGAAGCACUUGGCACACAGCUCGAUUUCAGCAUCGCGUUUCAU
This 3849-nucleotide long non-coding RNA is filed under the name Ananas comosus (pineapple). RNAcentral's name for it is "long non-coding RNA (ACOM_LNC008828)". The record is from RNAcentral. Lineage: Eukaryota; Viridiplantae; Streptophyta; Magnoliopsida; Poales; Bromeliaceae.